RNAcentral lists this ribosomal RNA (475 nucleotides) under uncultured bacterium. Its description in RNAcentral is "partial 16S ribosomal RNA". It matches the Rfam family "Bacterial small subunit ribosomal RNA", at positions 28 to 507 of the family's 1533-position model. The record is from RNAcentral.
GAUGAACGCUGGCGGCGUGCUUAACACAUGCAAGUCGAACGAUGAACCUCACUUGUGGGGGGAUUAGUGGCGAACGGGUGAGUAACACGUGAGUAACCUGCCCUUGACUCUGGGAUAAGCCUGGGAAACCGGGUCUAAUACUGGAUACGACCUUCUGGCGCAUGCCAUGUUGGUGGAAAGCUUUUGUGGUUUUGGAUGGACUCGCGGCCUAUCAGCUUGUUGGUGGGGUAAUGGCCUACCAAGGCGACGACGGGUAGCCGGCCUGAGAGGGUGACCGGCCACACUGGGACUGAGACACGGCCCAGACUCCUACGGGAGGCAGCAGUGGGGAAUAUUGCACAAUGGGCGCAAGCCUGAUGCAGCGACGCCGCGUGAGGGAGGAAGGCCUUCGGGUUGUAAACCUCUUUCAGUAGGGAAGAAGCCGGCUUUUGGGUUGGUGACGGUACCUGCAGAAGAGGCGCCGGCUAACUACGUG